AGCGAACGCUGGCGGCAGGCUUAACACAUGCAAGUCGAGCGGGCACCUUCGGGUGUCAGCGGCAGACGGGUGAGUAACACGUGGGAACGUACCCUUUGGUUCGGAACAACUCUGGGAAACUGGAGCUAAUACCGGAUACGCCCUUAUGGGGAAAGGUUUACCGCCGAAGGAUCGGCCCGCGUCUGAUUAGCUAGUUGGUGAGGUAACGGCCCACCAAGGCGACGAUCAGUAGCUGGUCUGAGAGGAUGAUCAGCCACACUGGGACUGAGACACGGCCCAGACUCCUACGGGAGGCAGCAGUGGGGAAUAUUGGACAAUGGGCGCAAGCCUGAUCCAGCCAUGCCGCGUGAGUGAUGAAGGCCUUAGGGUUGUAAAGCUCUUUUGUCCGGGACGAUAAUGACGGUACCGGAAGAAUAAGCCCCGGCUAACUUCGUGCCAGCCGCCGCAGU
RNAcentral lists this ribosomal RNA (449 nucleotides) under uncultured bacterium. Its description in RNAcentral is "bacterial SSU rRNA". It matches the Rfam family "Bacterial small subunit ribosomal RNA", at positions 29 to 521 of the family's 1533-position model. The record is from RNAcentral.